Molecule: transfer-messenger RNA, 316 nt
Filed under: Candidatus Liptonbacteria bacterium RIFCSPHIGHO2_01_FULL_56_18b
Lineage: Bacteria; Candidatus Liptoniibacteriota
Also listed under: 2 other names
Rfam family: transfer-messenger RNA
About the family: Bacterial tmRNA, also known as 10Sa RNA or SsrA, is named for its dual tRNA and mRNA-like properties. Its role is to liberate the mRNA from a stalled ribosome.
Source: RNAcentral
GGGGAUGAUCAGCUUCGAUAAAGACAGGUCACGGACUGGCGAGCCGAGCGCUGACUCGUAAAACCGGCACCACGCAUAACUGCUAACCAAAAAGUUGCAGCUCCCGCAUUCGCUUACGCGUAACGCGGGGAUCGCCUGACCCCUUGUCUCUUGGGGUCAGACACGGUCUUAUACAAGGGGACUAAGUUCCGCCGGAUGAUCCUGCGGCGGGAUCGAAAACCAAGGAUCAAUUCGCCUGACUUCGGUUAGACUACGCUCGUAGAAGGUUCGCUGAUACUGUUUUUAGACGGCGGCUCACUACCGCCCAUCUCCACUC